CCAGUAGCGUAUAUUAAAGUUGUUGCAGUUAAAAAGCUCGUAGUUGAAUUUCGGGGUUAGUAGGUUGGUCAUGCCUCUGGUAUGUACUGGUCUCACUGAUUCCUCCUUCCUGAUGAACCGUAAUGCCAUUAAUUUGGUGUUGCGGGGAAUUUGGACUGUUACUUUGAAAAAAUUAGAGUGUUUAAAGCAAGCUAACGCUUGAAUACAUUAGCAUGGAAUAAUGAAAUAGGACGUUCGAUCCUAUUUUGUUGGUUUCUAGGAUUGACGUAAUGAUUAAUAGGGAUAGUUGGGGGCAUUAGUAUUCAAUUGUCAGAGGUGAAAUUCUUGGAUUUAUUGAAGACUAACUACUGCGAAAGCAUUUGCCAAGGAUGUUUUCAUUAAUCAAGAACGAAAGUUAGGGGAUCGAAGACGAUCAGAUACCGUCGUAGUCUUAACCAUAAACUAUGCCGACUAGGGAUCGGAUGAUGUUAAUUUUUUAAUGACUCAUUCGGCGCCUUACG
RNAcentral lists this ribosomal RNA (500 nucleotides) under uncultured Glomeromycotina. Its description in RNAcentral is "partial small subunit ribosomal RNA". It matches the Rfam family "Eukaryotic small subunit ribosomal RNA", at positions 591 to 1092 of the family's 1831-position model. Lineage: Eukaryota; Fungi; Glomeromycota. The record is from RNAcentral.